AUUUCACUGUCAUCUAAGUCUCAGUGGUCAUCUGGCUUAGACUCUGCCCAUUUUCAUCUAACAGGAGAUGAAUUCCUACUACAGCUUCUCUGGCAUCUGUCCCUGCAGCCCCAUUCCCAGCUCCGCAGGGCAGUCACCUCUCCUUCAGUCCGUUGUUCUCCUGGGACGGCAAUUUCCUUGUGGUCUCCCUGAGAGCAGUAUUUGCAAUUGAGCUGCCUGGAAGAAAGCAUCAGCGUUGCUGCAUUUGGGCUGUGGGCUGUGUCACUGCAGCUCCCCAGUGGUUGUGCAAUAUUGGCAAACCCACCGAUCAGCCCUGUGUCUUAGGAGCACUCGUCCCAUCAUCAGCAAUUCUGUGAGGCCCUGGGACACUGGCUGGCUCAGCAGGAUCUGUCUGCCCAUGGCUUUUUCCCCUGUCGGCAACAGCACGUCCAAGAGGGUAAAUUCUGCAGCUCCAUCAAUGUGUGGCCACUCAAGUUAACAAGGCAGCCCACGUGGAUGCUCAGCAGGCAUGGGGACUGUGAUGCUGAAGUCAGCCAGAAAGCCGCCUGGCCCAUUUUCCUCUUGAAGGCGGGGGUAAGGGACGAGGAGGUUGCAAUAACUGAGCUCCUGUCUCCUGUCUGGGCCUCAGUGGGCUCCAAAGAAGGUCAAGAAGUG
RNAcentral lists this long non-coding RNA (654 nucleotides) under Apteryx owenii (little spotted kiwi). RNAcentral describes it as "lncRNA (ENSAOWG00000018585.1)". Lineage: Eukaryota; Metazoa; Chordata; Aves; Apterygiformes; Apterygidae. The record is from RNAcentral.